GCCCAGGCCGGACUGCGGACUGCAGUGGCGCAAUCUCGGCUCACUGCAAGCGCCGCUUCCCGGGUUCACGCCAUUCUCCUGCCUCAGCCUCCCGAGUAGCUGGGACUACAGGCGCCCGCCACCGAGCCCGGCUAAUUUUUUGUAUUUUUAGUAGAGACGGGGUUUCACCUUGUUAGCCAGGAUGGUCUCGAUCUCCUGACCUCAUGAUCCACCCGCCUCGGCCUCCCAAAGUGCUGGGAUUACAGGCGUGAGCCACCGCGCCCGGCCACAAGAGACCUUUUUAUUGCACAGUGGAAUAGUGCCUGCCUGGGAGUAAGCGAACUCUGGUCCUGCUUACCAUUGUGACAUGCAUGAUAACAGGUUCCUUCCUUCUGAUCUGCACCGCCCCCCUCCUCAUCUAUAAAGUGAGGAGGUUGAGCUACAUGGCAUCUGACUUACUCCCAAUCUGACUGCUGUUUACUCUGAAGCCAUGUGAGUAUGAGGAGACAGAGAAGAGGGAAGGAUGUGGGACAUGUGGCCCAUGUGAGACAACUGACCCAGACGGGCUAAAGCGAGAGGAGGAGGAGGACCCAGUGGCUCAGAACUCUCAGCCUCAAGGGUGGAAACAGGACUGGGACACUGGUCUUCUCCUUCCUUUGGACUCAGACUCAGACUUAGACUGGAAUUUACAACAUCAACUCACCUGGGUUUCCAGCUUGCCAACUUCAGAUCUUGGACUUCUCAUCUUCUAUAAUCAUGAUCUGUUCCAGAAGGAACUGCUGGAUCAAAGCAUGUGCGAACUCUUAAGGCUUCUGAUACAUAUUGCCAAAUUACCACUCGAAGGACUUACCAGCAGUGAAUGGGAGAACCUCUUCCCCAGGGUCCUGACCCACCCAACCAUAAACACACAAUAAGGAAGUAAGGGGGAU
Molecule: long non-coding RNA, 908 nt
Filed under: Homo sapiens (human)
Lineage: Eukaryota; Metazoa; Chordata; Mammalia; Primates; Hominidae
Description: HSALNT0291513
Source: RNAcentral